AGCUCAAAUGAUCUGUAUGCAGUUGUGGCAGUCAAAACUGUCCCUAAAACCCGUAUACCAUCACCAAAGAGUCAGAGAAAAUCCUGCGCUAUUGUGGAUUGUGAAGAUUAUUAAACCAACAUGGAAGAUCUCAACAUUCAUGGAAACGUCUAAUGAAAAUGCUCCACAUCCCCUCCAAAAUGUGCUAAAUACAGUGUUUAAAACAGAAAAAGACAA
Long non-coding RNA from Paramisgurnus dabryanus, 216 nucleotides. RefSeq lists it as uncharacterized. Lineage: Eukaryota; Metazoa; Chordata; Actinopteri; Cypriniformes; Cobitidae. The record is from RefSeq and is a predicted model, not a curated record.